GAUGAAGAACGUAGCGAAAUGCGAUAAGUAGUGUGAAUUGCAGAAUUCAGUGAAUCAUCGAAUCUUUGAACGCACAUUGCGCCCCUCGGUAUUCCGUGGGGCACGCCUGUUCGAGCGUCAUUUACACCCUCAAGCGCAGCUUGGUGUUGGGCGUCUGUCCCGCUCUCCGUAGCGCGGACUCGCCUCAAAGUCAUUGGCGGCGGUCGUGCCGGCUCCUCGCGCAGCACAUUUGCGCUUCUCGGAGGCCCGGCGGAUCGGCAUCCAGCAAGCUACUUUUUAUGACUUGACCUCGGAUCAGGUGAGGAUACCCGCUGAACUUAAGCAUAUCAAUAAGGAGGA
Molecule: unclassified non-coding RNA, 339 nt
Filed under: soil metagenome
Description: partial contains 5.8S ribosomal RNA, internal transcribed spacer 2, and large subunit ribosomal RNA
Rfam family: 5.8S ribosomal RNA (bases 1-120)
Source: RNAcentral